This is a long non-coding RNA of Oryctolagus cuniculus (rabbit), 2163 nucleotides long. NCBI's taxonomy places the organism in Eukaryota, Metazoa, Chordata, Mammalia, Lagomorpha, Leporidae. The record is from Ensembl.
AUGGUCAGGGAGCGCUCCGCCCACCACUCAACCCAUGGUCAGGGACCGCUCCGCCCACCACCCAGCCCAUGGUCAGGGACCGCUCCGCCUACCACCCAACCCAUGGUCAGGGACCACUCCGCCCACCACCCAGCCCAUGGUCAGGGACCGCUCCGCCUACCACCCAGCCCAUGGUCAGGGACCGCUCCGCCUACCACCCAACCCAUGGUCAGGGACCACUCCGCACACCACCCAGCCCAUGGUCAGUGGCCUGGCCAUCCCUCCCUUUUGCUUCUCCUGCCAACGGCCAGGACUGAGCAGAGCAGUGCCUGGACUCACUGGCCCAGCACAGCCCUCGGAGGAGCAGAGCCCUCUCCCCGCAGCUCCGGUGGAAAGCUCCAAGGACCGUGGCCAGGCAGGGCACAGCACUGCACCCCCCCCCCCACAACAGUUCAGCCUCCAGGGCAGGGGCGGGGUCUCCCGGGGAAAGAGCAAAGAACCCGGGCCCCUGCCCCUCCUUGUUGCAGACCCUGGAAAACAGCGGGGGCGGAGGCCUGUGGCAGGUCCCAAGGACACCAGGGGCACCGGGGGACAUCCCAGGUGGCUGCUCCCCGAGGAUCUGUGCAGGCGGGGCCGCCACACAAGGCAAUGGUGGCAGCCACGGCCACCAACUACACGUGCCUGUGGAGAGCCACUGGGGAGGGAAGGAGUGGCUACCAGGCUGUGUGGAAACACAUCCCACAACCAUCGCCGCAGCAGAUGCCAGGAGUGCUUGUUUACCCACGCACAGAGGAGCCACGCGGGCGUGGGAUGGCGCCAGGUGGGAGCUGGCACAGGUGCUGCGGGAGGCUGCCAAGCCCAGCAGUGCAGGUUCCAUUCGUCUCGCAGACGAAGCCUGGCUCAGAUGCCUCAGGCCCCGGAGCGGGGCAGGGGUGGCCUGGUCCCAUCACACCUGCACCCGGGGCCCCUCGCCCACGGGUGCCCAUCAGCCCACGUGAAGCACAACUGGCAACGGCAACACACAGGCACGCUGGCUCUGCGCCAUGUGCGGCGUCUGCACAAGCAGAUCCUCAGCCCGGGGUGCCCACGGCAGGCAGACGCCACACACCUGCCGACCACGAUAGUGUGUUCAGAUGGCGUGGGCUGCCUUCAUCUAAGGACCACUGUGUUUCUUUCAGGACGUCAGGGAAGUCUGAGUGUCACAGCAGCAGGCGGGAACAGCAGCCGUGCAACGAUACCAGGUACCGCAGACUCCAAGACCAGGGGCCCCACCACUGCGCGGGUCACACACACAGGACGAGGCCCAUACUGCGCGGGUCACACACAUGGGACGGGGCCCAUACUGUGCGGGUCACACACAGGACUAGGACCAUACUGCGCGGGUCACACACAGGACAGGGACCAUACUGCACGGGUCACACACAGGACGGGGACCAUACUGCACGGGUCACACACAGGACGAGGCCCAUACUGUACGUCACAUGCAUGGGACGGAGACCAUACUGUGCGGGUCACACACAUGGGACGGGGCCCAUACUGCAUGUGUCACAUGCAUGGGACAGGGACCAUACUGCGCGGGUCACACGCAUGGGACGGGGACCAUACUGCGCGGGUCACACACAGGACGAGGACCAUACUGCGCGGGUCACACACAGGACUAGGACCAUACUGCACGUGUCACACACAGGACGGGGACCAUACUGCACGGGUCACACACAGGACGAGGACCAUACUGCGCGGGUCACACACAGGAUGAGGCCCAUACUGCGCGGGUCACACACAGGACGGGGCCCAUACUGCAUGUGUCACACGCAUGGGACAGGGACCAUACUGCGCGGGUCACACGCAUGGGACGGGGACCAUACUGCGCGGGUCACACACAGGACGAGGACCAUACUGCGCGGGUCACACACAGGACGAGGACCAUAUUGCACGUGUCACACACAGGACGAGGACCAUACUGCACAUGUCACACACACGGGACGAGGACCACACUGCACAUGUCACACACAUGGGACGAGGACCACACUGCACGUGUCACACACGGGACGAGGACCACACUGCACAUGUCACACACACGGGACGAGGACCACACUGCACGUGUCACACACGGGACGAGGACCACACUGCACAUGUCACACACACAGGACGAGGACCACACUGCACGUGUCACACACGGGAUGA